AACGAACGCUGGCGGCAUGCCUAACACAUGCAAGUCGAACGAGACCUUCGGGUCUAGUGGCGCACGGGUGCGUAACGCGUGGGAAUUUGCCCUUAGGUUCGGAAUAACUCCCCGUAAGGGGUGCUAAUACCGGAUAAUGUCUUCGGACCAAAGAUUUAUCGCCUUUGGAUGGGCCCGCGUUGGUUUAGCUAGUUGGUAGGGUAAAAGCCUACCAAGGCGACGAUCCAUAGCUGGUCUGAGAGGAUGACCAGCCACACUGGGACUGAGACACGGCCCAGACUCCUACGGGAGGCAGCAGUGGAGAAUAUUGGAGAAUGGGCGAAAGCCUGAUCCAGCAAUGCCGCGUGAGUGAUGAAGGCCUUAGGGUUGUAAAGCUCUUUUACCCGGGAUGAUAAUGACGGUACCGGGAGAAUAAGCUCCGGCUAACUCCGUG
Molecule: ribosomal RNA, 433 nt
Filed under: uncultured bacterium
Lineage: Bacteria
Description: partial 16S ribosomal RNA
Rfam family: Bacterial small subunit ribosomal RNA
Source: RNAcentral